This 253-nucleotide ribosomal RNA is filed under the name uncultured bacterium. RNAcentral's name for it is "partial 16S ribosomal RNA". It matches the Rfam family "Bacterial small subunit ribosomal RNA", at positions 524 to 776 of the family's 1533-position model. The record is from RNAcentral.
UACGUAGGGACCAAGCGUUGUCCGGAAUCAUUGGGCGUAAAGAGCGUGUAGGCGGCUUGUUAAGUCUUGCGUGAAAUCUCGGGGCUCAACCCCGAGCGGUCGUGAGAAACUGGCAGGCUAGAGUGCGGGAGAGGAGACUGGAAUUUACGGUGUAGCGGUGAAAUGCGUAGAUAUCGUAAGGAAGACCAGUGGCGAAGGCGGGUCUCUGGACAGUUCCUGACGCUGAGGCACGAAGGUCAGGGGAGCAAACGGG